RNAcentral lists this ribosomal RNA (469 nucleotides) under uncultured bacterium. RNAcentral's name for it is "bacterial SSU rRNA". It matches the Rfam family "Bacterial small subunit ribosomal RNA", at positions 9 to 470 of the family's 1533-position model. The record is from RNAcentral.
GAGUUUGUCGUGGCUCAGGACGAACGCUGGCGGCGCGCCUAACACAUGCAAGUCGAACGAGCGAGAGAGAGCUUGCUUUCUCGAGCGAGUGGCGAACGGGUGAGUAACACGUGGGUAACCUGCCCAAGAGACUGGGAUAACACCUGGAAACAGAUGCUAAUACCGGAUAACAACACUAGACGCAUGUCUAGAGUUUGAAAGAUGGUUCUGCUAUCACUCUUGGAUGGACCUGCGGUGCAUUAGCUAGUUGGUAAGGUAACGGCUUACCAAGGCAAUGAUGCAUAGCCGAGUUGAGAGACUGAUCGGCCACAUUGGGACUGAGACACGGCCCAAACUCCUACGGGAGGCAGCAGUAGGGAAUCUUCCACAAUGGACGAAAGUCUGAUGGAGCAACGCCGCGUGAGUGAAGAAGGGUUUCGGCUCGUAAAGCUCUGUUGGUAGUGAAGAAAGAUAGAGGUAGUAACUGGCC